UAUGUGCUGCGUGCUGGGUGCUGCAUGCUGCUGUGUGCUGCGUGCUGCGUGCUGCACAUCCCCACCAUGCCCACGUACCCAUCCCCACCAUGGCCAUGGAACCAUCACGGUUGGAAAAGUCCUCCAAGACCCCCAAGUCCAAUCCCCCCAUCACCGCUGUGCCCAUGGAACCAUCCAGGUUGGGGAAGUCCUCCAAGACCCCCACCAUGCCCAACCCCAACCCAUCCCCACCAUGCCCACAGAACCAUCCAGGUUGGGAUGGUCCUCCAAGACCCCCAAGUCUGACCCCGAAGUCCGACACCCUUCCAUUGCUGCCAUGCCCACGGAACCAUCCAGGUUGGGGAGGUCCUCCAAGACCCCCAAGUCCAACCCCCUUCCAUCCCCACCCUGCCCAUAGAACCAUCCAGGUUGGGAAGGUCCUCCAAGACCCCCAAGUCCAACCCCCUUCCAUCCCCACCCUGCCCACAGAACCAUCCAGGUUGGAAAGAUCCUCCAAGAGCCCCAAGUCCGACCCCAACCCAUCCCCACUGUGCCCAUAGAACCAUCCAGGUUGGAAAGGUCCUCCAAGACCCUCACCAUGCCCAUAGAACCAUCACGGUUGGAAAGGUCCUUCAAGACCCCCAAGUCCAACCCCCUUCCAUCCCCACCAUGGCCAUGGAACCAUCCAGGUUGGGAAGGUCCUCCAAGACCCCCAAGUCUGACC
Molecule: long non-coding RNA, 703 nt
Organism: Numida meleagris (helmeted guineafowl)
Lineage: Eukaryota; Metazoa; Chordata; Aves; Galliformes; Numididae
Exons: 2
Source: RefSeq, a predicted model, not a curated record